This is a long non-coding RNA of Thalassophryne amazonica, 273 nucleotides long. RefSeq lists it as uncharacterized. NCBI's taxonomy places the organism in Eukaryota, Metazoa, Chordata, Actinopteri, Batrachoidiformes, Batrachoididae. The transcript has 3 exons. The record is from RefSeq and is a predicted model, not a curated record.
UCUGUCAGAGCUCCAGCAUUCUUCUGUGAUGAGAGAAGAAUCUUCCAGUAGGACAACAAUCUCCGCAGCAAUCCACCAAUCAGGCCUGUAUGAUAGAGUGACCAGAUGGAAGCAACUCCUUAGUAAAAGGCACAUGGCAGCCCCCCUGGAGUUUGCUAAAGGCACCUGAAGGACUCUCAGACCAUGAGAAACAAAAUUCUCUGGUUUGAUGAAACAAAGACUGAAGUCAUUGGCGUGAAUCCCAGGUGUCAUGCUCCCUGGGAUGAUCAGUCU